RNAcentral lists this ribosomal RNA (296 nucleotides) under uncultured bacterium. RNAcentral describes it as "partial 16S ribosomal RNA". It matches the Rfam family "Bacterial small subunit ribosomal RNA", at positions 29 to 352 of the family's 1533-position model. The record is from RNAcentral.
AACGAACGCUGGCGGCAGGCUUAACACAUGCAAGUCGAACGCUCCUAGCAAUAGGGGAGUGGCAGACGGGUGAGUAACGCGUGGGAAUCUACCCAGCCCUUCGGAAUAGCUCCGGGAAACUGGAAUUAAUACCGAGUACGCCCUACGGGGAAGAUUUAUCGGGGUUGGAUGAGCCCGCGUUGGAUUAGCUAGUUGGUGAGGUAAUGGCCCACCAAGGCGACGAUCCAUAGCUGGUCUGAGAGGAUGAUCAGCCACACUGGGACUGAGACACGGCCCAGACUCCUACGGGAGGCAGC